UACGGAGGAUGCGAGCGUUAUCCGGAUUCAUUGGGUUUAAAGGGUGCGUAGGCGGAAUAGUAAGUCAGUGGUGAAAGCCUGCGGCUUAACCGUAGAAUUGCCAUUGAUACUGUUAUUCUUGAGUAUAGUUGAAGUGGGCGGAAUGUGUAAUGUAGCGGUGAAAUGCUUAGAUAUUACACAGAACACCAAUUGCGAAGGCAGCUCACUAAGCUAUCACUGACGCUGAGGCACGAAAGCGUGGGGAGCAAACAGG
This 253-nucleotide ribosomal RNA is filed under the name uncultured bacterium. Its description in RNAcentral is "partial 16S ribosomal RNA". It matches the Rfam family "Bacterial small subunit ribosomal RNA", at positions 524 to 776 of the family's 1533-position model. The record is from RNAcentral.